This 253-nucleotide ribosomal RNA is filed under the name uncultured bacterium. RNAcentral's name for it is "partial 16S ribosomal RNA". It matches the Rfam family "Bacterial small subunit ribosomal RNA", at positions 524 to 776 of the family's 1533-position model. The record is from RNAcentral.
UACGAAGGGGGCUAGCGUUGUUCGGAUUUACUGGGCGUAAAGAGCGCGCAGGCGGUCGUACAAGUCGCGUGUGAAAGCCCCCGGCUCAACUGGGGAGGGUCACGCGAUACUGUUCGACUCGAAGGCAGGAGAGGGAAGCGGAACUCCCGGUGUAGUGGUGAAAUGCGUAGAUAUCGGGAGGAACACCAGUGGCGAAGGCGGGUCUCUGGGCCGAUACUGACGCUGAAGAGCGAAAGCGUGGGGAGCGAACAGG